GGCUUAGUAAUAGCGUUGCGGAAGACUCGUACAGGUUUCCGUAGGUGAACCUGCGGAGGACUAUAUCAAUAAGCGGAGGAAACCCUUCUUGUUUCCCUGGUGGGAUCCCCCACCAGUAAGACAAACAUAAACCUUUUGUAAUUGCUUGCUAUUUCACCAACCAAUUAAUAAUUACUUCUUUCAACAACGGAUCUCUUGGUUCUGGCAUCGAUGAAUAACGCAUCGAAAUGCAAUAAGUAGUGUGAAUUGCAGAAUUCAGUGAAUCAUCAAAUCUUUGAACGCACAUUGCGCCCUUUGGUAUUCCAAAGGGUGUGCCUGUUCGGGCGUCAUUUGUACCCUCAAGCUUUGCUUGGUGUUGGGCGUCUUGUCUCUAGCUUUGCUGGAGACUCGCCUUAAAGUAAUUGACAGCCGGCCUACUGGUUUCGGAGCGCAGCACAAGUCGCACUCUCUAUCAUCAAAGGUCUAACAUCCAUUAAGCCUUUUUUUCACCUUUUGACCUCGGAUCGGGUUCGGAUACCGGCUGAACUUAAGCAUAUCAAUAAGCGGAGGAAA
Molecule: ribosomal RNA, 552 nt
Filed under: Dothideomycetes sp. CS11708
Lineage: Eukaryota; Fungi; Ascomycota; Dothideomycetes
Description: eukaryotic LSU rRNA
Rfam family: 5.8S ribosomal RNA (bases 176-329)
Source: RNAcentral